CUAGACUCCUCCCAACCACCAAGCUUCCAACAGCUACAAACCAUGGAGAAGAAACCUGCACCUGGGAGAAAAUUGAAACCCACCAGAUCAGAUAAGACAACUGGCAGAAGAAAAGAACUCGAGUUGCCUGCCCUCCCCAUUAUGACCAAGCAGGGAUGUUUAUAGAGUAACACGAUGAAACAAAUGAGUACAAGAUUAAGUAGAGAGAUAUCAACACCAAACCAUCAAAGACAAACAUAUAAAGAUCAUGUAAUCAAAACCACCAGACAUUCUCAUUAUCACAUUAUGCAAGACCUGAAUAAAAUCUUGCACACAUGGAGCCACUAUCAACAUCUCUAACCAUCAGAAAGAGGCUGCCAGCUCUACCCCCAUUAGGGGAAGGGGGAGAAAGAAGAUAGGUCUUAACCGAAACCUGAUUCACAAAAGAAUUCCAAGAGAACUCCUAAGAACCUGCACCUAAAAUCAUAGUCGGAACCCUCUUCACCAAAAUGUUGUUUCCUAAUGAUACAACCAAGAAAAUCAAAGCACAGUGGAACAUACUCAUAGAUUAUAUACAAGGAAAAAUUAUUUUUAAAAAAAACAGAAAACUCCUCUAAAAUCAUACGAUAUCCAAAGUAUAACAGCCAUACGUAAAGUGCAACAUGUGAAUGAAGAGUUAUACUCCAUGAAUGGAGGCAAAGACAGCAGCAUUUUUUCAAAAUUGUCACAGCUCGGUCUGGGGCGGGCUUCUUAGAAGAUCCCCAUUUACUUGUGCAAGGUUCCUACUCAAUCACCAAUACAAGAAACCCAAGGAGCAAGGAACAAUUUCGGAAAUAAGAAAUGAACUAUAGCUGGUAGUAGAACACGAGGAGAACCAAGUGAUGAAACCAUCAGUGACUGAUCUGUGAAGUGUCAUUUGGCUGAACAGACUAUCUGGUUAGUAACAUUUUUUUUGAAACUUUUUUUAUUUAUUUUUUUUGAAACUCUUAUCUGGUUAGUGACAUUUUACAAAACAUACCAUCUGUGAAGUGACAUUUGACUCAACAUACACCAAUGAUAUAGCAACACCACAGAGAAUGACAGAACAAAGGUUACCUAUAAUCAAUGGUGAUUUCAACCAUAUUAAGAAAAUUAGUGCAAACCUUAACUUGGAAGAGUAUCUAGAAUAACAAGAUUUGUUGAAAAAAUUCCCAACUUGCACGAUGAUCUGAUAUGUGAUGGAUUUACAAGGGUAUAUUUCAUGAGACGAUCUUUUACACAGAAAAAAAUAGUUACCUUUGUGUUGAAUAUAUGACCUUUUACACAAAAGAUGAGCCAAGUUUUUUACUUGAUCUGCUCUAAAUCCAAUGAAUUGCCGCUAGCUCUUUGAUGCAAAGACUGUUCAAAUGGCAAUGUUUCAUGGAGAAAAAAAGUGUGAAAGAUCUCUCUUUUUGCAUUAAAGUUUUACAUAAUAGCUGACAGUCUGAAGCAACUCCUCAAAUGACUGAAUAUCUGAAACAUAAUAGGCAUGUUAAAAAACAAGAAAAAAAUAGGAGAGACCUCCAAAAAUAAAAAGAGCCUUCAAUUUUGUAUUAUAUUUUGAAAUAGGUAACUUUGAAAAAAGAGGCUUCAUUACCCAACAAUUAGCCUGAAAAUAGUGAUUAUGGCUGCAGAUAGUGCACCCAAUAAAAGAAUCAGAAAUUGAAUGAUAUGACCAUGUGCGGUAAGCACCACUGACAUGCAAAAUUCUCAAUUAAACUCACUACAAGAAGAGCACCGUUUCAAAGAGAGUACAGUAAAAAAAAAUAUCAUACUGACAAGAGGAGAACUGAACUGAAAAUUCGGCACUCACAGCAGCUUGAACCAAAUGAAACCUUAACAUAAAUCAACAAACAAAAGCUGCCCCAUGGAAAGAAGAAUUUUACUUCUUCAAGACCACAACUGCAAACACAGAAAGAAGGAACAGUACAAAACUGGCAAAACCCAAACCACUUGGGAAAUCACUACAGAAGACGUAGACAAUAUUUAGAAACCCCCUUUUUCUCGAAGCACUAACAAUAUCCAGAUUGCAGUGCAAGCACCUAAACGACCAGUUAACUAAACACUAACCUUUACAGAUUGCAAAUCUAAUCCCCCCAUACUGUUCACUGUGUAGUAUAUAGAUCCUACUAUCCUCCAAUAAUGUUCUCUAUGUGGUAUAUACAUCCUUCCAAUAGACGAAACAGAAAACUGGAGUGAUAAGCAAAAAGAAAAUGAAAACAAAGAAGAUAAGAAGCAAGACACGGAAGGUAGAUGAGCGCUUUACAGGGCUAUGGAAAGAUCUAGAAUUUACCGAGUACCUACCAAAUGUCCACACCCAUAAGAGACUUCAUCAGUUGGAUCACAGCAAACAUAAGCAUCUGGACUAAAACCUGAAAAUGCACUUGUGGAAAGAAUUGUCGUAGCUGAGAACUUCUGUAUAACAGCACUUCUGACAACGAGAUAAGGGAUCUCUAUGAACAAGGAAGAAAACUAAAUCGAAAAGAUAGAUACUAAUAAAGCCUGGACCAAGGAAACCUCAACGCUAAUUGACAAACAAGGUUGCUCCAUGAAAGUAGAUCGAGAAAGACCCAACGACAGCAAGCACAAAAAGAAGGGAACAGUCGAGUGGAAAGCCGUGAAACCCAUGCCACAUUAGAAGAGAUCACUAGAGAUGCAAAGCUCCCUUCCCUUGGUGCUUGAUGAUAUCCAAAUUGCAGUGCAAGCACCAAAAUGGCAAAGAAGCAUGGUGCACAAGGAUACACACUGAAACCAAUCUUCGAGACUACCAAAUCUGAUCCCCUCACUGUCACCAUGUGGUCUACACAGAUACAUCCAAACAAACAAAACCAAGUGGCACGAUAAACAUAAGAAAACAGGAGCAGAAAAGAUAAGUAGCAAGAACACACCAAAGUAGAGGAGCUCUUAGGUCCAUAUGAAAAUCUAAAAUGUACUUCUCACGUGUCCAUAACAAUCAGGGAUCUCAUCAGUUCGAUCAUCCAAGAAAAUAAGCAUCUAGAACAAAAAUUUCACAACUUCAGAGUACAACACACACACUAGUGGAAAAUAUUAUCAGUGCUGAAUGUUGAGAACUUCCACACAACAGUAGUUUCCAAAAAGAGAAAAAGGACCCACUGAUUAAGAAGAAAACUGAAUUGAAGUUCAUUCUCAGGAAGAUCCAACAGUUACAUGCACAAGAAGAACGAAACAGGUAAGUGCAAAACAUGGGAAACCCAUACAACGCAGGGGUGAUCACUAGAGAUGCCAAACAAUGUAGCAUUUCAAACUGCCCUCUUCUUGGAGCAUGUGAUAUCCAAUUAUCCAGAUUGCACCAAAAUGGCAAGAAACAGGGUCCACAAUGAUGCUCACCAAAAGCGAACUACAAAAUUUCCAAAACGUAUCCUCUUCACUAUCAUAUCACCAUGUGGCAAAAAUUCAUUCAUCCAACCAAAAUAAAUCAACUAGUAGGCUAAACGAACACAGAGAUGGUAAGUAGCGAGAACACGAAAGUAGAGGACUGCAUUACAUGGUCAUCAAAAGUUCCAAAUUUUGAACACACUUAUCAAAUGUCCAUAACCAUCAAAAUCUCACAAGUUGCAUCUGGAUUACUUAAAAGAAAAAAUAUGGCGACAAAAUAUAAACCAGUGAAGCAGGGCUGACAAACAGAGAAGGGAACAAUUCUGAUUACGGAAGAAAACCUGAAUUGAAGAUCUCAAUGAUUAUUAAAAGCAUCAACCAAAAAACCUCAACAUAAAUUGACAGACAAGGCCGCUGCAUGAAAAGAAGAAUCUACGGCUCAGUAAGACCCAGCAACUGCAAGCACAGAAAGAAUGGAACAGUUAAAGUGCAAAGCUGGUGAAGCACGCUACGUAGAAUUUACUAGAAAUACCAAGACAAGAUUGAGAACCGCCUUCUUCCAAAGCCUCUUGGUAAUAUCCAGAUUGUAGUGCAAGAACAACAUGGACAAGAAACAUGCUGCACAAGAAUGCAGUACACCAACCAUCAAAAUCUUCCACAACUAAUCCCCUCAACUGUCACCAUACAUCCAUCCAACAAACAAAAUCAAGCUAGUGUAAUACAAAAGUAAAAGGAAGCAGAGAAUAUGAGCAGCGAGAACAACAAAAGAGAAGACCAUUUUACGAGGCUUUCAGAAGAUUCAAAAUUGAGUACUUGUUAGGUGUCCACAAGACCAUAACCAUCAGAAAACUCAUCAAUUGGAUAAUUGAAGAAAAUAAGCAUCUGAACUGAAAACCAAAAACGACGAUAGAAUAUGACCAAAAAAAAUUAUUUAGUUGAAAAUCUCAGUGCUCAUACAAGCCUCAACCAUGAAAACCUCGACAUAAAUUGGACAAACAAAGCCGCUCCAUCAAAAGAAUAUUUUACUCUAUAAGACCCAAUGGCUGCAAGCACAAAAAAAAGGGUACAAUCAAGUCCAAAACUGACAAAACCCAUACCACCUAAGAAAUCACUAGAGAUGCCAUAUAGACGAGAUUUAAAAAACCCCUUCAUUGUUGAAGCCCUGAUCAAUAUGUUCUGAUUGCAGUACAAGAACCAAAAAUACCAAGAGGGUACAGAUUGCAGUGCAAGAACCAAAAAGACCAACAGGGUAUAGAGAUAGCAUACUGGACAUCAACCUUUGAAAUCUCCAAAUCUUUAACCUGUAAUACUGCCACCAUAUAGUCUACAUAUCCAUCCAACAAAAAUAAAAAGUUGACAACCAAAAGAAAAUGGCAGGAAAAAACAUAUGUAGCUAGAAGACCAGAAGUACAGGAGCACUUAAUGGCGCUGUCAAACUAUAAGAUCAAAAAUUGACGGAGUACUUAUCAGGUGUCUAUAAGCAGAGACCUCAUCUGUCGAAGACUGAUAAUACAGAAUGAAGUGCAAGCACAGAAAUGGCAAAGAAACAAGGUGCACAAUGAACACUGGGCAUCAACCUUCGGAACUUUCCAAAUCUAAUCCUCUUAACUGCCAUCCAUCCAACAAACAAAAUCAAUCUGGAAGCAGAGUACAACACAUACUAGUUGAAAAUAUUACCAUUAUUGAGGACUUCCACACAACAGUAGUUUUGACAAAGAGAAAAGUGACACGCUGAUUAAGGAAAAGCUGAACAAAAGUUCAUUCUGUGGAACACCCAAUGAUUACAUGCACAAAUAGAACGAAACAAGUACAAAACAUGGGAAACUCAUACCACGAAGAGAGAUCACUAGAGAUGCCAAACAAUGCAACAUUGCAAAGCGCCCAUUACUUGAAGCCUGGUGAUACCCAAUCAUCCAGAUUGCAGUGCAAGCACCAGAAUGGAAAGAAAUAGGGUCCACAGGGAUGCACAUCGAAACCAAAGCACAAAAUUCACAAAUCUUACCCUCUUACUAUCAUAUCACCACCAUGUGGCCUACAAACACUCAUUCAACCGAAACUAAAUCAACUGGUAAGCUAAACGAAAGCAGAGAAGUUAAGCAGCUAGAACACAAAAGUAGAGUGCGUUACAGGGCUAUCAAAAGAUCCAAGACUGAGUUUGAAUAUACUCAUCAAGUGUCCAUAACCAUGGAGUUCUCAUCAGUUGGAUCAUUAAAAAACAUAAGCAUCUGGAUUACUUAAAAAACUGUAACAAAAUACACACUAGUGAAGCAGUGUUGACAAAGAGAAAAGCGAACCAUCUGAUAGUGGAAGAAAACUGAAUUGGAGAUCUCAAUAAUCAUUAAAGCAUCAAUCAAAAAACCUCAAACACAAUUGACAGACAAGGCCGCUACAUGAAAAGAAGAAUCUACGGCUCUGUAAGACCCAACGGCUGCAAGCACAGAAAAAAUGGAACAGUUAAGUGCAAAGGUGGUGAAGCCUGUACCACCUAGAAUUCACAAGAAAUGCCAGACAAGAUAGAGAACCGCCUUCUUUCGAAGCCUCUGAUAGUAUCCAGAUUGUAGUGCAUGCACUAACAUGGCCAAGAAACAGGGUGCACACGAUGCAAAACGGUACACCAACCUUCAAAAUCCUCCAGGCCUAAUCCCCUCAACUUUCACCAUACAUCCACCCAACAAACAAAAUCAAGCUGGCAUAAUACAACAAAAAGGAAGAAGAAAAAAUGAGCAGCGAGUACUUGUCAGGUGUCCAUAAGACCAUAACCAUCAACCAUCUGGAAUCUCAUCAGUUGGAUAAUUAAAGAGACUAAGCAUCUGGACUAAAAAACAAAAAUGACAGUAAAAUGACACAGUAGUAAAAACAAAAACUAUUUUAGUUGUAAUCCCAGUACUCAUAAAAGCCUGAACUAAGGCAACCUCGACAUGAAUGGACAAGUGGCUUCCAUGAAAAGAAUAAUUCACUGCUCUUUAAGACCCAAUGGCUGCAUGCACAAAAAAAAGGGUACAAUCAAGUUCAAAGUUGAUGAAAGCCCACACCAAAGAAAUCAUUAGAGAUGCCACAUAGACAAGAUUAAAGAACCCUUCUUCGUUUAAGCCCCGACAAUAUAUCCAAAUUGCAGUGCAAGAACCAAAAAGACCAAGAGGGUACAGAGAUACCAUACUGGAUAUCAACCUUAUCAAUCUCCCAAUCUUAACCUCUAAUAUUGUCACCAUAUAGUCUGCACAUCCAUCCAACAAAAAAAAUGGCAGCAAAGAACAUAUGUAGCUAGAAGACCAGAAGUAGAGAAGCACUUUAUGAAGAGAUAGAUCCACAAAUCGAGUACUUAUCAAGUGACUAUAACCAUAAUGAGGAGAGAACUCAUCAGUUGGAUCAUUGAAGAACAAAUUGUCUGGAUUAAAAGCUUCAUGGCAGCAGAACACAAUACACACUUGCAAGAAAAUAUUAUCUUAGUCAAAAUAACAUCCAUACAACAAUAGUUUUGACAGAGAAAAGGGACCUAUAAGGAAAGAAAACAGAAUCGAAAAUCUCAAUACUCAUGAAAGACUCUACUAAAGAAACCUCAACACAAACGGAUAAACACGGCCGCUUCAUGAAAAGAAUAAUCCACUGCCCUAUGGUUCAAUGGCUACAAGAAUUGAAAGAAAGAAACAGUUAAGUGCAAAUCUGACAAACCCCGAAACCACCCAUGUAAUCACUAAAUAUGCUAUAGACAAGACUAAAAACCCCCUUAUGUCAAAGCCCGGAAAUCCAAAUUGCAGUGCAAGCACCAAAGACCAAAAGGUGACAGAGGAUCACAUGUUGAUUAUAACCAAGCUUUGAAAUUUCCAAAUCUGAAUGUCCAUAACAGUACCACCACCAUAUGGCUACACAUCUAUCCAACCAAAACAAACUAUCAUGAUAAUAUAAAAAAAAUGGAAGACAAAAGAUAAUAAGUAGCUAGAAGAACAAAAGUAAAGAAGUAUUUUACAUCACUAUAAAAAGAUCUAGGAUUGGCCGAGUACUUCUUUAGGUGCCCACACAAAAGACCUCAUCACCAUAGGACACCUCACAACUUGGAUCAUCCAAGAGCAUAUGCUUCUGGACAAAGAACUCAUGGCAGCAGAAAAAUACAACACACUGGUCAAAAAUAAUAUCCUAAUUGAGAAACUUCCAUACAAAAGUAGUUUUGACAAAGAUAAGAGGAGCCAUGAGAGAAGAAAACUGAAUUGAAAAUUAUCGAUACUCAUAAAAGACUGAACUUAAAAGGCCUCAACUCAUAUGGACAAACAAGAUCACUCCAUGAAAAGAAGAAUCCACUGCUCUGUAAGACCCAAUGGCUGCAAGCAAAGGAAUAAAGGAAAGAAUACUUGCAAAGCUGACGAAACCCACUAGAAAAUGCAAGAUAAGAUUGAAAAACCCCUCUCAUAUCCUGAUAAUAUCCAUAUUGCGGUGCAUCCACAAAACUGGCAAAGAAUCAAGAUUGAGAAACCCCUCUAUCUCGCCUAAUAAUAUUCAGAUUGUAGUGCCAGCACAAAAAUGGCAUAGAAACAGGUUGCACAAGAAUGGACACUGGGCAUUAACCUUCAAAAUUUUCCAAAUCUAAUCCUCUACUGUCAUCCAUCCAACAAAUAAAAUCAAUCUGGGGUGAAACAAACAGGAAGCAGAGAACGGACCCACUUGAUGGGGCUGUCAAGAGAUCUAGGAUUGAGUUUUGAUUUCUUAUCAGGUGUCAAUAAGACCAUAUACCCAUCAACCAACCAGGAAUCUCGUAAUCUCAUCAAUUGGAUCAUCGAAGAACACAAGCAUCCGAUCUACAAACUAAAAAUGGCAGAGCAGAAUACAACACACACUAGUGCAAGAAAAACUAAUUUAGCUGGGAACUACCAUAUAACGGCAAUUUUUGACAAAGAGAGGAGGGACCACUCUGAUUGAGGAAGAAAACUGAAAUGAGAAUCUCAGUACUCAUAAAACCUGAAGUAGAAGAACAUCAACACAAAUGUCCAAACAAAGCCCCUCCAUGAAAAGGAUAGUUCACUGCUCGGUUAGACCCAACUGCAAGCACAGAAAGGAGGCUGCAAGCACAGAAAGAAGGGAACAGUUAAGUGCAAAGCUGACAAAACCCUUAUCACCUAAGAAAUCACUAGAGACGCAAGAGAUAUUGAAAAACCCCAUUAGUCGAAGCCUGACAAUAUCUAUCUUGGAGUGCAAGCACAAAAAAGACAGAAAAAGGUGCAAAGGAACGCCUACCGGAUACAAGCAUUCGAAGUUCCCAAAACUAAUCCUCUAUUAAUAUCACCAUGUGGUCUACACAUACAUUCACCAAUAAACAAGAUCAAGCAGGUGUGAUAACCAAGGGAAAACGAAAGCAGAGAGAAAAUAAGUAGCUAGGACACAAAAGCCAGAGGAGCACUUUACGGCACUAUCAGAGAUCCAGAAUUGACUUUUGACUACUUAUACAGUGCCCAUAACACCACAAGAGAUAGCAGGAUUAUCAAAGAACAUGAGCAUCUGAACCAUGAACUAAAACUGGCAGCGUUACACACACAAGUGAAGAGAAAUAUCAUAAUUGAGAACUUCCAUAAGCAGUAAUGACAAAACUUCGAGAGACUGAAAAAUCCAAUACCUAUAGUCAAAAACCUGGGAACUGUUGCAUCCUUCCCGAGACGAACACCAAAGCAAGACACUUACUCCUGUAGAACGACUUGCACCUAGAUGCCCAUCCAUGUAUUCUUGACAGCUAAGAAUGACAUCCACUGAUGACCAAACCAAAUAAGUUGAGCGAGGAGAAACAUGAUAAGCAUCAAUAUUAACAUUAAAGAUGGAAGUCAAGAUAUCAAAUCCAAACUGAUAGCUCCUCUCUAUGGUUAUGACAACAUAAGACGAUGGGACUCGUUCAUCUCAAGAUCUAAAUUCCCACUUCUACUCAUAUUCUGAUUCAACAGAAGGAAAUUGCUAGGUUUUAGAGUAGUAAAUAGGGUGACAAAAUAAUGUACACAACACACGAUUUCUCACAACAAAAACCUCAGAAUUUUCCAAAACCUGGAAGCAAUACUCGAUUUCCCCCAAAACUGCAUCCAAAAUGGACCUUACCAUACCAGCUUCCAAUUUCUAAAAUAAAAACAUUGGAAAUCAAUCGAAGGUACACCAAGAAAAUGGGAACAAAUUAAAUAUUUGCACUGGAAAGGUACCCAUAAUCAUUCUCCUAUCAUUAUUACCCAGACCUUCAACCAAACACCAAUAACGAAUCAAAAGAUCCAAAAUUGAUUACUUGUUAGGUGUCCACAAAACCAUAACCAUCAACCAUCAGGAAUCUCAUCAGUUGGAAAAUUGAAGAAAAUAAGCACCUAAACGAAAAACCAAAAAUGAUGAUAGAAUAUGACACACACUAGUUGAAAAAAAAUUAGUUGCAAAUCUCAGUACUCAUACAAGCCUGAACCAUGGAAACCUCCACAGAAAUUGGACAAACAAAACCUCUCCAUCAAAAGAAUAUUUUACUGCUCUGUAAGACCCAAUGGCUGCAAGCACAAAAAGAAGGGUACAAUCAAGUCCAAAACUGACAAAACCCUUACCACCUAAGAAAUCACUAAGAGAUGCCAUAUAGACAAGAUUAAAAAACCCUUCUUUGUUGAAGCCUUGACCAAUAUGUCCAUAUUACAGUGCAAGAACCAAAAAGACCAAGAGGGUACACAUAUACCAUACUGGACAUCAACCUUUGAAAUCUCCAAAUCUUUAACCUCUAAUACUGCCACCAUAUAGUUCGACCUGUCGUCACAUAUGAAAUAACGGACGGUAAAAAUUUAGGAGCCCUUUUUCUACCGGAUCCAUUGCAGGAAAGGGAUAAUGUGUAACUUCGAAUUGUCAACUAUCUCCUUUAUAGUCUAAACAUCCAUCCAUCAAAAAUAAGAAGCUGUGACAACCGAAAGAAAAUCGCAGGAAAGAACAUAUGUAGCUAGAAGACCAGAAGUGGAGGAGCACUUUAUGGCACUGUCAAAAAGUAAGAUCCAGAAUUGACCGAGUACUUACUGGUAAAACUUCAUGGCAGCAGAACACAACACACACUGGUGAAAAAUAUUAUCUUAGUUGAGAAACUGUCAGUCUUUCAUGCAACAAUAGUUUUGACGGAGAAAAGAGAGCCAUACGGGAAGAAAACUGAAAUUAAAAAUUGCAGUACUCACAAAAGACUUAACUAAAGAAACCUCAACACAAAUGAACAAACACAGCCGCCUCAUGAAAAGAACAAUUAACUGCCCUGUAGCCAAAGGCUGCAAGAACAGAAAGAAGGGAACAGUUAAGUGCAAAUCUGACAAACCCCAAACCACCCAAAUAAUGACUAGAUAUGCCAUAGACGAGACCGAAAACCCCCUUUUCGAAGCCCAGACAAUAUCCAGAUUGCAGUGCAAGCACCAAAAAGUCCAAAAGGUGGCAGAGGAUCGCAUGUUGGUUAACCAACCUUUGAAAUUUCCAAAUUUGAACGUCCAUAACAGUGUCACCGUACGGUCUACACAUCCAUCAAACCAAAAAAACUAGUGUGAUAACAAAAAAAUAUGGAAGCAGAGAAGAUAAGUAAGUAGCUAGAAGAACAAAACAAACAAAGUAUUUUACGCCACUAUCAAAAGAUCCAUUGGCCGAGUACUUAUCAGGUGUCCAUAGCCAUAAGAGACUUCAUCAUCACCAUAAGAGGCCUCAUCAAUUGGACCAUCUAAGACAUAUGUGUCUGGACUAAGAACUUCACGGUAGCAGAAUACAAUCACUGGUGAAAAAUAAUGUCCUAAUUGAGAAACUUCCAUACAACAGUAGUUUUGAAAAGACAAAUGAGUCAUUAGGGAAAAAAAACUAAAUUGAAAAUUAUCCAUACUCGUAAAAUACAGAACUAAAGAAACCUCAACACCACAUAUGGACAAAUAAGGCCUUCUAUGGGAAGAAAAAUCCACUGCUUUGUGAGACCCAAUGGCUGCAAGCAAAUGAAUGAAGGGAAGAGUUACGUGCAAAGUUGAUGAAACCCACUAGAAAAUGCCAGACAAGAUUGAAGAACCCCUCUCAAAGCCUGAUAAUAUUCAGAUUACAGUGGAAGCACAAAUAUGGCAAAGAAACAAAAUUGGAAACCCCCUCUGUCGAAGCCUGAUAAUAUUCAGAUUGCAGUACAAGCACAGAAAUAGGCAAAGAAACAGGAUGCACAGGAAUGGACUCUGGGCAUCAACCUUCGAAACUUUCCAAAUCUAAUCCUCUUAACUGCCAUCCAUCCAACAAACAAAAUCACACUGGGAUGAUACCUUAGUUGCGCGGACUCUCCACUUUUAAUGCCGCACCCGUGUCGGAUUCUCCAAAAACACACUACAUUUGGCGAAUCCGACACGCACCCGUUGACAUUUUGAAGAGUCCGAGCAGCAACAUAGGGUGAUACAACAAAUGGAAAGCAGAAUAAAACACACACUGGUUGAAAAUAUAACCAUUAUUGAGAACUUCCACACAACAGUAGUUUUGACAAAGAGAAAAGGGUCCCACUUAUCAAGAAAAAAACUGAACUGGAGUUCAUUCUGUAGAAGACCCAACAGUUGCAUGCACAAAAAUAACAAAACAGGUAGGUGUAAAACAUGGGAAACUCAUACCACACAGCAAGACAACUAGAGAUGCCAAACAAUAUAACAUUGCAAAGGGACCAUUUCUUGAAGCGUCUGGUGAUAUCCUACCAUCCAGAUUGCAGUGCAAGCACCAGAAUGGCAAGAAAUAGGGUUCACAGGGCACAUCGAAACCAAAUUACAAAAUUUAAUCUUAUCCUCCUACUAUCAUCAUAUCAGCACCAUGUGGCCUACAAACAUUCAUCCAACCAAACUAAAUCAACUGGUAAGCUAAAUGAAAGCAAAGGAGGUAAGCAGCGAGAACAUGAAAAUAAAGGUGUUGCAGGGCUAUCAAAAGAUCCAAGACUGAGUUUGAAUACAUUCAUCGACUGUCCAUAACCAUGGAGAUCUCAUCAGUUGGAUCACUAACAAGCAUAAGCAUCUGGAUUACUUUAAAAAAUGGCAACAAAAUACGCAAUAGUGAAGCAGUGUUGACAAAGAGAGAAGGGAACCAUUCUGAUUACAGAAGAAAACUGAAUUGAAGAUCUCAAUAAUCAUUAAAGCAUCGACAAAAAAACCUCAACACAAAUUGACAGACAAGGCCGCUCCAUGAAAAGAAGAAUCUACAGCUUUGAAAGACCCAACAGCUGCAAGCACAGAAAGAAUGGAAUACUUUUAAGUGCAAAGUUGGUGAAGCCCGUACCACCUAGAAUUCACUAGAAAUGCAAGACAAGAUUGAGAACCGCCUUCUUUCAAAGCCUCUGAUAGUAUGAAGAUUGUAGUGCAUGCACUAACAUGCCAAGAAACAGGGUGCACGGGAUGCACACUGUACACCAACCUUCAAAAUCCUCCAACAAGUCUGAUCCCCUCAACUUUCACCAUACAUCCAUCCAACAAACAAAAUCAAGCUGGCGUAAUACAAGAAAAAGGAAGCAGAAAAAAUGAGCAGCGAGAACACCAAAAGAGAGGACCAUUUAUGAGGCUUUCAAGAGAUCCAAAUUGAGAUCUUGUCAGGUGUCCAUAAGACCAUAACCAUCAACCAUCUGGAGUCUCAUCAGUUGGAUAAUUAAAGAAAAGAAGCAUCUCGACAAAAAACCAAUAUGACAGUAGAAUAUGACACACACUAGUGAAAAACAAAAACUAUUUUAGAUGAAAAUCCCAGUACUCAUAAAAGCCUGAGGCAACCUCAACAUGUAUGGACAAACAACGCCACUCCAUGAAAAGAAUAAUUCACUGCUCUGUAAGACCCAAUGGCUGCAGGCACAAAAAGAAGGGUACAAUCAAGACCAACGUUGACGAAACCCACACCAACUAAGAAAUCACUAGAGAUGAGAUUUAGACAAGAUUUAAAAACCCUUCUUUGUUGAAGCCUUGACCAAUAUAUCCAGAUUGCAAUGCAAGAACCAAAGAGACCAAGAGGGUACAGAGAUACUAUACUGCGUAUCAACCUUUGAAAUCUCCAAAUUCUAACCUCUAAUAUUUUCACCAUAUAGUCUACACAUCCAUCCAACAAAAAAUGGCAGCAAAGAAUAUAUGUAGCAAGAGGACCAGAAGUAGAGCAGCACUUUAUGGAGAGAUAGAUCCACAAACCGAGUACUUAUCAAGUGACUAUAACCAUAAUGAGGAGAGAACUCAUCUGUUGGAUCAUUGAAGAACAAAGAGUCUGGAUUAAAAUCUUCAUGGCAGCAGAACACAACACACACUUGUAAGAAAAUAUUAUCUUAGUCAAAAAACAUCCAUACAACAAUAGUUUUGACAGAGAAAAGGGAUCCAUAAGGAAAGAAAACAGAAUCAAAAAUCUCAAAUACUCAUAAAAGACUCUACUAAAGAAACCUCAACACAAACGGAUAAACACGGCCGCUUCAUGAAAAGAAUAAUCCACUGCCCUGUGGUUCAAUGG
RNAcentral lists this long non-coding RNA (13764 nucleotides) under Solanum tuberosum (potato). Its description in RNAcentral is "long non-coding RNA (STUB_LNC004799)". Lineage: Eukaryota; Viridiplantae; Streptophyta; Magnoliopsida; Solanales; Solanaceae. The record is from RNAcentral.